RNAcentral lists this small RNA (4932 nucleotides) under Pan troglodytes (chimpanzee). Its description in RNAcentral is "retained intron". Lineage: Eukaryota; Metazoa; Chordata; Mammalia; Primates; Hominidae. The record is from RNAcentral.
AAGUGACGCAUGGUACUUGCGCAAAGACGACGAGGAGGCUGCGAAAAGUUAAGGGCCGGACCGCACGCUGUGCUCGCUUCCGGAAGUGGCUUCUGCGACAACAUGCUUGCGGACCUCGGCUUAAUCGGGACCAUAGGCGAGGAUGACGAGGUGCCGGUGGAGCCCGAGUCUGACUCCGGGGACGAGGAAGAGGAGGGGCCCAUUGUGCUGGGCAGACGACAAAAAGCCUUGGGGAAGAACCGCAGUGCUGAUUUCAACCCUGAUUUCGUUUUCACUGAGAAGGAGGGGACGUACGAUGGCAGCUGGGCCCUGGCUGAUGUCAUGAGCCAACUCAAGAAGAAGAGGGCAGCCACUACAUUAGAUGAGAAGAUUGAGAAAGUUCGAAAGAAAAGGAAAACAGAGGAUAAAGAAGCCAAGUCUGGGAAGUUGGAGAAGGAGAAAGAAGCAAAGGAAGGCUCUGAACCAAAGGAGCAGGAAGACCUUCAAGAGAAUGAUGAGGAAGGCUCAGAAGAUGAAGCCUCGGAGACCGACUACUCAUCAGCUGAUGAGAACAUCCUCACCAAAGCAGAUACACUCAAAGUAAAGGAUCGGAAGAAGAAGAAGAAGAAAGGACAGGAAGCAGGAGGAUUUUUUGAAGAUGCAUCUCAGUACGAUGAAAACCUCUCGUUCCAGGACAUGAACCUUUCCCGCCCUCUUCUGAAGGCCAUUACAGCCAUGGGCUUCAAGCAGCCCACCCCGAUCCAGAAGGCGUGCAUACCUGUGGGUCUAUUGGGGAAGGACAUCUGUGCCUGUGCAGCCACUGGGACAGGUAAAACUGCCGCCUUUGCCCUGCCUGUUUUGGAGCGUCUGAUUUACAAACCCCGCCAGGCUCCAGUCACCCGCGUGCUGGUGCUAGUGCCCACCCGAGAACUGGGCAUCCAGGUGCACUCUGUCACCAGACAGCUGGCCCAGUUCUGCAACAUCACCACCUGCCUGGCUGUGGGCGGCUUAGAUGUGAAGUCUCAGGAAGCAGCUCUUCGGGCAGCGCCUGACAUCCUCAUCGCCACCCCAGGCCGGCUCAUCGAUCACCUCCACAACUGCCCUUCCUUCCACCUGAGCAGCAUCGAGGUGCUCAUCCUGGACGAGGCUGACAGGAUGCUGGAUGAGUACUUUGAGGAGCAGAUGAAGGAGAUCAUCCGAAUGUGUUCCCACCACCGCCAGACCAUGCUCUUCUCGGCCACCAUGACAGACGAGGUGAAAGAUCUGGCUUCUGUCUCCUUGAAGAAUCCUGUCCGGAUAUUUGUGAACAGCAACACAGAUGUGGCUCCCUUCCUGCGGCAGGAGUUCAUCCGGAUCCGGCCUAAUCGUGAAGGAGACCGGGAAGCCAUUGUGGCAGGUGGCAGCCCAGGGCAAGCCUGGGCAGGGUGGGCUGGUCAGCUUCCUUGAGCUCGUAGUAUCCAUGCUGAAGUGCUUGGUUUCCCCUGCGCCUCUGCCGUCCAGUCUUCCCCAGCGCAGAGGCUGCACUGCACUAACGAUGAUCCGCUGCCUCACUUCUCCACGGGUCCUUCCUCCCUUUGCUUUAUCGCCUCACCAAUCCUCUUUGUGUCCUGUUCAACUCCCAACCACUUGGCAUCAGCUGCUGUUGUACCCGUCAGUCCAGACCACUGUUCUCUGUUGCCUGGAUCGUUGCGCAGCCUCUUGCUCGAGCUCCCUGCUUCCACUCGGCCUUUUGUGACUCUCUGCAUUGCAGAGCAUUUACGAUGAUUGCUUGCAGAAGACAUUUGUACUUAUUAUGUCCUUAUUUGAACACCCUGCGGUGGCUUCCAUUGGUCUUAGACUAAAAUCCAAACAUCUUAGUUUUUUAGGACUCUUCGGGCCUGGCCCUUGCCUGCCCGGGAUCCCAGCCGUGGAGGCUUGCUCAUGGCUCCAGCCACAUUCGCCUGCUUGCACUUUUUUUUUUUUUUUCUUUGAGGCAGAGUCUUGCUCUGUCGCCCAGGCUGGAGUACACUGGCACGAUCUUGGCUCAAUGCAGCCUUUGCCUCCUGGGUUCAAACGAUUCUCCUGCCUCAGCCUCCCGAGUAGCUGGGAUUACAGGCACUUGCCACCACUUCUGGCUAAUUUUUGUAUUUUUAGUAGAGAUGGGGUUUCACCGUGUUUGCCAGGCUGGUCUUGAACUCCUGGCUUCAAGUGAUCUGUCCUCCUUGGUCUCCCAAAGUGCUGGGAUUACGGGCAUGAGCCACUACAUCCAGCUGCCUGCUUGCACUUCUCACUAUAAGCUGGUUCCUGCCUCCAGGCCUUCAUGUUUGCCAUUUCCUCUGUCUAGAAUCUUCCCCUGGAUCUUCCCAUGGAUCAUCUGCCUUGUCAUUCAACCUAAUGUCACCUCUUCAGAGAGGCCAGCCCUUAGCUGCUUCCCCCUUGUCCCUGCACUCUCUCUCACAGCAUUUUUCACCCCCCAGGAAUUGGCUUCUCUGUAUCCACCCUGGAAUUUCAGUUCCACAGGACAGGGACAGUGCCUGUCUAUCCAGUGCCAGGCACAGUGACCAUACUUUGUGGAUGAGGAGGGGGUACAUGUUGAAUAAGAGCCUAGAAACAGCUGCCAGCUCAGUCCUCUCUUCCUGCCAGCUUUGUUGACGAGGACCUUCACUGACCAUGUGAUGCUGUUCACGCAAACCAAGAAGCAGGCCCACCGCAUGCACAUCCUCCUGGGGCUCAUGGGGCUGCAGGUGGGCGAGCUCCAUGGCAACUUGUCACAGACGCAGCGGCUGGAGGCCCUCCGGUAACAUUUGGGGUGGGGACUGAGGCUCCCACCAUCCUUCUGGGGCAGAGAGGAUAGAAGGAGGAAGAGGACCCUGAGCAUUCUAUUAGAGCAUUAGCAGGGGACACAUAGCAUGAUCUUGGCCUUGAACAUUUUAACCUAACCACUGUGAGGUCAUGUCUUAGAUGUGUUUAGAACUCUAACUUCAUAGUCAGAGAUGACCCUCAUGUCCUUGGAUGCUUGUCCCUAGCAUGGGAGCUGUUGUGUGGCGUGACAGAGGAAGCUGGCUUGGAAAGGCAACACAUGGUCUCUUCUUGGAAGCUUUCUGAGAGUGGUGAACAUUCCUGGGUCUGAUUGAACAAGAUUUAGAGUCAAAGUUAGCAGCCAUUACUUGAGCAUCUACUUUGCCAGGCACCGUGCCGCGUGCUUUCCAUGUGAUUUCUUGUUUAGUCCUCAGAGAAUGGCAUCAAGGUGGUUGGCAAGGAGGAACCCUUUAGAACUCUCCACCUAACCCUGUUCAUCAGUGGGUGCUGAAAGGUGUUUGUUAAAGAUAGGCUGAUUUAAACUGAGACAAUUGCCUAUGCUGUUAGCAGAUACAGAACUACGUUUGCUCUGUAUGAUGGGUUGUUGAAGGGUGGGUGUAAAUAUCCCAUGUGCUCACAUUUAGAAUCUAUCCCUAUUUUUUUUUUUUUUUUUUGAGACGGAGUCUUGCUCUGUCGCCCAGGCUGGAGUGCAGUGGCGCAAUCUUGGCUUACUGCAAGCUCCGCCUCCCAGGUUCACGCCAUUCUCCUGCCUCAGCCUUCCAAGUAGCUGGGACUACAGGCGCCCGCCACCAUGCCCGGCUAAUUUUUUGUAUUUUUAGUAGAGACGGGGUUUCACCGUGUUAGCCAGGAUGGUCUCGAUCUCCUGACCUCGUGAUCCGCCCACCUCGGCUUCCCAAAGUGCUGGGAUUACAGGUGUGAGCCACCGUGCCCAGCCUCUAUCCCCAUUUUAAUGCCCUGUUUUGUCCUCUGCUGGCUCAGGCUCUUGUGGAGCAUUAUUAGGGGAGGGUGUCUGGAUGAACAGCUGUUUGUGACUGUUUCUAGGCGUUUUAAGGAUGAACAGAUUGACAUCCUCGUGGCCACUGAUGUGGCAGCCCGUGGACUUGACAUUGAGGGGGUCAAAACGGUAAUCAACUUCACAAUGCCUAAUACCAUCAAACAUUAUGUCCACCGGGUGGGGCGAACAGCACGUGCUGGCAGGGCUGGGCGCUCAGUCUCUCUGGUGGGAGAAGAUGAGCGGAAGAUGCUGAAGGAGAUUGUAAAAGCUGCCAAGGCCCCUGUGAAGGCCAGGAUACUUCCCCAAGAUGUCAUCCUCAAAUUCCGGGACAAGAUUGAGAAAAUGGAGAAAGAUGUGUAUGCAGUUCUGCAGCUAGAGGCGGAGGAAAAAGAGAUGCAGCAGUCGGAAGCCCAGAUCAAUACAGCAAAGCGGCUCCUGGAGAAGGGGAAGGAGGCAGUGGUCCAAGAGCCUGAGAGGAGCUGGUUCCAGACCAAAGAAGAGAGGAAGAAGGAGAAAAUUGCCAAAGCUCUGCAGGAAUUUGACUUGGCCUUAAGAGGAAAGAAGAAAAGGAAGAAGUUUAUGAAGGAUGCCAAAAAAAAGGGGGAGAUGACAGCAGAGGAAAGGUCCCAGUUUGAAAUCCUCAAGGCGCAGAUGUUUGCUGAACGGCUAGCGAAGAGGAAUCGCAGAGCCAAGCGGGCCCGAGCAAUGCCCGAGGAGGAGCCAGUGAGAGGUCCUGCCAAGAAGCAAAAGCAGGGGAAGAAAUCUGUAUUUGAUGAAGAACUCACCAACACAAGCAAGAAGGCCCUGAAACAGUAUCGAGCUGGCCCUUCCUUUGAAGAAAGGAAACAGUUGGGCUUGCCCCACCAGAGACGAGGAGGAAACUUUAAAUCUAAAUCCAGAUACAAGAGGAGGAAGUAGCUGUUGUGGCCCGAAGAAAUUCAUGGGGGCAGCCCUUAAAUCCCUUCCCUGUGGGAAGUCAUCCUGGCUGGUCUGUCUUUUCUCCAUUUGUUUUAAAAAAAAAAAAAACAAAAACCAACACUUUGGUGUGGUGGUAUGGUACGUAGCUAUUUUCCUAAGCAUGUCUGUCAAUCUCCCUUCUUGCUGAUUAGCUUUCAUAUGACUAUAUUAAAUGGAAGUAUUUUUGGGAAAAGAGAAACCAA